GGACAGACUGGCCAUGCUCUUCAGGACUAUUUGAAGGAUUCUAGUGCUAGUGAAUGAAUAUGAGGGGCUGUACUGAAGAUACUUGCUGAGGUAUUUAAUGGUUUCCUGACACGAACUGAGUGGCCUGUCUCUGUACAAUCCUAACUCCUGGGAGCAUUUGCAGUUGCUCAUGAGACAGCGUUAAGUGCUGAGUUGAAGUCUGUUACUGCCACAGCAAGGACCUUGUGCCUCAAACCAGUGAAUACUGCAAGCUCGAGUCCACCACCAACCCUGCCAUGCUGCUUGCAAGUCUGAGCUCAUCGUGAGACACUGCCUGCAGCAUUUCUGAUCAGUAGGACUGUACUCCCAUUUACAUGGAAAGCGUUUUCUUACUGCUUACCCCCUUGUGUAAGAUACUGCAGAGCACUCCAAGCUUCCACCCACAGGCAGACAGCCCUUUAAAAAAGAGUGUCCUGAUAAGUCCAGAUGGAUACAUGGAGAAACAUACCCAUGAGAUGGCUGCUUUGAAAGCAUGCUGGGAAGCAAUGUAUUAGGGUCCCGUGUCUUUUUUUUCUCUCAGUAAUGAUAAAUACACUUAUACAUGGACAGAACAUUUCUAGAACGAUUCAGAAAACUUCUGGGACUGGGACUAGGGUACAUAGAUUUCUUUGUGUUCCUGUUUCUACCGUUUGGAUUUGUACUGAGCAUAAAUUGUAUAAUUUUUUAAUAAAAAGGAAAAAUGCAAGGUG
Molecule: long non-coding RNA, 728 nt
Filed under: Mus musculus (house mouse)
Lineage: Eukaryota; Metazoa; Chordata; Mammalia; Rodentia; Muridae
Description: long non-coding RNA chr5:21661878-21662606
Source: RNAcentral